GUAAGCUGUCAAUUUGGAAAAAUGAAUGAUUUGGAAGACUAAUAUCAUGCAUUUGUAUUCCUUACAUAUCAAUGAUUUCUAAUUUUAUGUUGUAGGUUAACAGGUUUGGCAAGAUGGCAUGAGAAAUCUACAUUGGUGAUAUGGGUGGUUCAGUUUUGAUUGUCCUUGGUACAAUGAAAGGUUUGAUUGUGUCAUUGAUGUGAAAAAUUUUACAAGUGCAUAGUGAGUGGAACAAAGAUUACCAUUACAGAUGCUAAUGUUCCAUGAUUUCAUGCUAAAUAUGCUACCGAGAUUAUAAUGAAGGGUCUAGAAGGGGCAUGAUUAUAUGUAUCCUAUCCAUUGUGUUACCAAUUUUUUUUGUUUUUGAUGGAUUGUUGUCUUACAAUAUUGUACUCCAAAGUUGUAUUUUGGAAGAGUCCCAAUGUAUAUGUUUUUUUAGGAACAUAUUUGUAUUACACCUCAGUAUUAGUUGUAAGAGGUCAUCCAUUUUAUAACUUUUUUUUUUUAUCGAGUAGCCCGAGUAUGCUUCUUAAAGAUAGAAAUCAUAUAGUGCUCAAUGAGCAUUGUGAAUCUA
Non-coding RNA from Phoenix dactylifera (date palm), 574 nucleotides. The record is from RefSeq and is a predicted model, not a curated record. NCBI's taxonomy places the organism in Eukaryota, Viridiplantae, Streptophyta, Magnoliopsida, Arecales, Arecaceae.